GAGUGCCCAGCAAUGGGAGCGGCGGACGGGUGAAUAACGCGUGGGAAUAUGCCCUUUGGUUCGGAACAACUCAGGGAAACUUGAGCUAAUACCGGAUGAGCCAGUAAUGGGAAAGAUUUAUCGCCAAAGGAUUAGCCCGCGUCCGAUUAGCUAGUUGGUGGGGUAAUGGCCUACCAAGGCGACGAUCGGUAGCUGGUCUGAGAGGACGACCAGCCACACUGGGACUGAGACACGGCCCAGACUCCUACGGGAGGCAGCAGUGGGGAAUCUUGGACAAUGGGGGAAACCCUGAUCCAGCCAUGCCGCGUGAGUGAUGAAGGCCUUAGGGUUGUAAAACUCUUUCGGCGGGGACGAUAAUGACGGUACCCGCAGAAGAAGCUCCGGCUAACUUCGUG
RNAcentral lists this ribosomal RNA (395 nucleotides) under uncultured bacterium. RNAcentral describes it as "bacterial SSU rRNA". It matches the Rfam family "Bacterial small subunit ribosomal RNA", at positions 64 to 507 of the family's 1533-position model. The record is from RNAcentral.